UCGAGCGUCAUUACAACCCUCAAGCACUGCUUGGUAUUGGGCUCUGCUGCUAAUACAGCGGGCCUUAAAAUUAGUGGCGGUGUCAUCAGACCCUGAGCGUAGUAAAUAUCCUCGCUAUAGGGACUUGGUGAUUAUUGGCCAGCAACCCCCAAUUUUCUAAGUUUGACCUCGGAUCAGGUAGGGAUACCCGCUGAACUUAA
Molecule: unclassified non-coding RNA, 200 nt
Filed under: soil metagenome
Description: partial contains internal transcribed spacer 2 and large subunit ribosomal RNA
Source: RNAcentral